CGGACGGGUGAGUAACACGUGGAUAACCUACCUAUAAGACUGGGAUAACUUCGGGAAACCGGAGCUAAUACCGGAUAAGAUUUUGAACCGCAUGGUUCAAUAGUGAAAGACGGCCUUGCUGUCACUUAUAGAUGGAUCCGCGCCGUAUUAGCUAGUUGGUAAGGUAACGGCUUACCAAGGCAACGAUACGUAGCCGACCUGAGAGGGUGAUCGGCCACACUGGAACUGAGACACGGUCCAGACUCCUACGGGAGGCAGCAGUAGGGAAUCUUCCGCAAUGGGCGAAAGCCUGACGGAGCAACGCCGCGUGAGUGAUGAAGGUCUUCGGAUCGUAAAACUCUGUUAUCAGGGAAGAACAAACGUGUAAGUAACUGUGCACGUCUUGACGGUACCUGAUCAGAAAGCCACGGCUAACUACGUGCCAGCAGCCGCGGUAAUACGUAGGUGGCAAGCGUUAUCCGGAAUUAUUGGGCGUAAAGCGCGCGUAGGCGGUUUUUUAAGUCUGAUGUGAAAGCCCACGGCUCAACCGUGGAGGGUCAUUGGAAACUGGAAAACUUGAGUGCAGAAGAGGAAAGUGGAAUUCCAUGUGUAGCGGUGAAAUGCGCAGAGAUAUGGAGGAACACCAGUGGCGAAGGCGACUUUCUGGUCUGUAACUGACGCUGAUGUGCGAAAGCGUGGGGAUCAAACAGGAUUAGAUACCCUGGUAGUCCACGCCGUAAACGAUGAGUGCUAAGUGUUAGGGGGUUUCCGCCCCUUAGUGCUGCAGCUAACGCAUUAAGCACUCCGCCUGGGGAGUACGACCGCAAGGUUGAAACUCAAAGGAAUUGACGGGGACCCGCACAAGCGGUGGAGCAUGUGGUUUAAUUCGAAGCAACGCGAAGAACCUUACCAAAUCUUGACAUCCUUUGACCGCUCUAGAGAUAGAGUUUUCCCCUUCGGGGGACAAAGUGACAGGUGGUGCAUGGUUGUCGUCAGCUCCUGUCGUGAGAUGUUGGGUUAAGUCCCGCACGAGCGCACCCUUAAGCUUAGUUGCCUCAUUAAGUUGGGCACUCUAAGUUGACUGCCGUGACAACCGGAGGAAGGGGGGGAUGACGUCAAUCUCCUGCCCCUAUGAUUGGGCUACCACCGGCU
This 1131-nucleotide ribosomal RNA is filed under the name Staphylococcus pasteuri. Its description in RNAcentral is "bacterial SSU rRNA". It matches the Rfam family "Bacterial small subunit ribosomal RNA", at positions 99 to 1226 of the family's 1533-position model. Lineage: Bacteria; Bacillati; Bacillota; Bacilli; Caryophanales; Staphylococcaceae. The record is from RNAcentral.